This is a non-coding RNA of Acanthosepion pharaonis, 113 nucleotides long. Lineage: Eukaryota; Metazoa; Mollusca; Cephalopoda; Sepiida; Sepiidae. The record is from the annotation of a GenBank genome assembly.
UUACGGUCAUAUCACGUCGAAAUACCGGUUCUUGUGCUGUACUGAAGUUAAGCAACGUCGGGCCUGGCCAGUGCCUAGAUGGGUGAUCGCUUGGGAAUACCAGCUGCUGUAAG